RNAcentral lists this ribosomal RNA (450 nucleotides) under uncultured bacterium. RNAcentral's name for it is "bacterial SSU rRNA". It matches the Rfam family "Bacterial small subunit ribosomal RNA", at positions 354 to 796 of the family's 1533-position model. The record is from RNAcentral.
GUAGGGAAUCUUCGGCAAUGGGGGAAACCCUGACCGAGCAACGCCGCGUGAGUGAGGAAGGUCUUCGGAUCGUAAAGCUCUGUUGCCAGGGAAGAGACGCCCAGGGGAGGGAAUGCCCUUGGGGUGACGGUACCUGAGAAGAAAGCCCCGGCUAACUACGUGCCAGCAGCCGCGGUAAUACGUAGGGGGCAAGCGUUGUCCGGAAUUAUUGGGCGUAAAGCGCGCGCAGGCGGUCCUUUAAGUCUUGUGUUUAAGCCCGGGGCUCAACCUCAGUUCGCAUGGGAAACUGGAGGACUGGAGUGCAGGAGAGGAAAGUGGAAUUCCACGUGUAGCGGUGAAAUGCGUAGAGAUGUGGAGGAACACCAGUGGCGAAGGCGACUUUCUGGCCUGUAACUGACGCUGAGGCGCGAAAGCGUGGGGAGCAAACAGGAUUAGAAACCCCUGUAGUCC